This 203-nucleotide long non-coding RNA is filed under the name Mytilus galloprovincialis (Mediterranean mussel). Lineage: Eukaryota; Metazoa; Mollusca; Bivalvia; Mytilida; Mytilidae. The record is from RNAcentral.
GUGACAAUUUUUUUGAAUGUUACCCUCUCGUCUAGACCAAUCAAAACCGAUAGUUUAAAGGACAAUGCAUUGAAUUUACAUGAAGUAAUUAAAUACAAUGCUAAAAAUCUACGUUUUGGCUCAGAUUUUAUUAUUUGACUGUCAAAAUAAAAAAAAAAUAAAACAUCUUGAAUAACUUUUGUUAAUUUUUUUUCUAACACCCA